CACAAGCAAGCUAGGAGGUAUAUACAUGUUUCUCUUGGCUAUCACCAUGUGAUACUAUUUCUUUGUUGUUUGACAUUCAAUCGCUAUCUUGAUAAAUUUGGAAGGAACUCAAAGCCUCUCAAUCAUGAUAAUACUAUUUCUUAUAAGCAAUACCUUAUAAGAUGCAUUGAUCACUUCAGAAAGAGCUAAGCUUAUAAGAUGCAUUGCUUAUACUGCAUGCACCUUUGUUUGUGAUGUUAGGCGAUUUAAAAUAUUGAAAUAGGAAAUAUUGGCCAAGUCAGACCUCUUACUUUUGCUUCUCAGAUCGGUACCCUGCUCUGUUAGCUUACUGCUAGUAUUACCUCAUAGAAUCAAAUUGGAAGUGAUAAAAUACAGAUUUGAAUGGCAGUCUAUCUAGAUAGCGAUGCUUUGCUCAUUUCCUAAAAUUUUCUCUAUGAGUAGGUCCCUGAUCUUGUUUAUCUUCUGCUCUGGGUUGUGUGAUCUGUACUGUACAUUUGUUCUAUGGAGAACUCUAUCCCGUUAUUUUCUCUGUAUUCUACCCUCAUGGUUCGUAGGGUAACAAGCACAGUAUUUGGAUGAGAUGGCAUUAACUAUUUGUGGCUUAUUUGUAUGCCUAACAAGUUGGGUGAAAAAUGCUCAUUUGGUAAAAAAAAUCUUCAUAGGUAGGUCUUUGAUCUUGUUCAUGUGCUAGUCUGGGUUAGGUGACAAGCUCGUUUUCUUUGCUUAAUAAUAUUAGUAGCUUCACAAAACAUAGUUCUCUAUUUAUUAUCUGUUAUUUUCACUUGUCCAGUUUUCCAUCUGAUGUUCACUUGUCUAGCUUAAUAAUAUUAGCAGCAUCGUAAAACACAGUUCUCUAUAUUGAUAUUCUAUCAUUCUUUUUCUUGAUUGAUGUCUAUUUUGGCAUAAUAUGCUUACUUAGGCCCUGUUAGGCAACAUACCACAACCACAAAUCCUCAACUUGAUCACUCAUAACCAACCGCCAGCUUCCUAGGCAAAAACUCGGUUUGAGGGGAUGAGUAAUAGUUUUCCCCCUAUUGUUUUCCUAUUUAACUAUGUACAUAGAGCAUACAUGGAGCUUUUGAUCACUACAAAACUGUACUGUUGCAAAGGAAAUAUAUACAUAAAUUUUUAAAGUAGCAUGACAAAUAUCGAGAAUCAUGAACAUCCAGUUUUGGACAUGUCAUAGAACAAAGGCCUCACAUUUAGCAUCGUGUUUAUCUUGCUUUCUCAACUUCUUCCUUAUGCUUCCAUAGCUAUAAUCUCCAGCAAUUGCUUCCUCCAGAUUCCCUGUGGUCUCGGUCAAUGGUUGCUUUGAAACUAAAUUACUCUGUAUUGAAUAUUUACAUUGGUUGCUGAAAGUAAAAAUAUGUACUGUGCACCGAAUAUUAACUUGUGGUUAUGUUUUUUAGAAGGGAACAAUAUCGAUGUUAGAAGUAGUAAUAGGAAGCAAUAUUAGCCUAUCCUACAUCCACUAAUGUCACUUAAAUCCCAAAAGCACUUAUAUGCCACUGAUGAAAAAAAACUUUCACUAGUAAGUUGUAACUUGACAUAUUGUUUUGCCAUGGAAUCCUGCUUAUAUUCACUAGGUAUUACUUUGUCUACUUAGAAUUAGCUCUUGGUAUGUUCGGUGUAAAUCAAUUAUGUACGAAUUUUUGGUUUGCGAUAUUUGACCAUGGAUAAUCUUUGUAUGUGCAGGGCAAAUGAUUCUUGCUUGAUCUAAUUAUGUGAUUUUGCUUGCUGUGAUGAUGAAGUGCAACACAUUUAGAAGAGUUUUAUUUAUGCUGAUGAGUUAAAUUGCUACAUGUCAAAAUCUUUAAUUUGUCUCUUCAAAAAUCUGAAACCAGAGCUUCAUUUUGAGUUUCCAAUCUGUUGCAGGUUUCCGAAAGGCACACAGGUUGACGGACGUUUGAAAGACCUUCAAGCCGUUGAAGAUUUGGAAGACCUAUAAUUAAGUUGGUGGGGGUGAUAAUGUCAUAUGCCUUGUUGAACCUGGAGACUUACUCUGCCCAUUUUGGUUGUGUGGCACAUUUAGAAAUAUAUGUACUUCUCCAUUUGUGGCACUACUUCAUUUUGGUUGUGUGGCACAUCUAGAAACAUAUAUGUACUUCUCCAUUUGUGGCACAACCUCCUUAUAUAUGAUUGUUAUAUAUGUUUAUUGAAUCAACUUUAAGGUUUUUGAUGAGGCCUAUAUGUUACUUUGAUUAAUGAAGUGAAUGUAUAAAUUG
RNAcentral lists this long non-coding RNA (2225 nucleotides) under Triticum aestivum (bread wheat). Its description in RNAcentral is "long non-coding RNA (TAES_LNC025181)". The record is from RNAcentral. Lineage: Eukaryota; Viridiplantae; Streptophyta; Magnoliopsida; Poales; Poaceae.